AAACUCCACCCUGCCUCUCUCUGGCCUUCCUUUUGGAUCUCACUUACCUUCAGCAAGUAGCUUGGGAAUCCCUGGAUCAUGUUCUCCACUCAAGGACAAACUCUCCACUCCCAGACCCACCUCAUUCUUCCCCCUGGAAUUUUGCCUGGUUCCGGAUUUUAACCAACAUUUUUCUUUAUAAUAAAACAUCUGAAAUCUUC
Girardinichthys multiradiatus is the source of this 200-nucleotide long non-coding RNA. RefSeq lists it as uncharacterized. The record is from RefSeq and is a predicted model, not a curated record. Lineage: Eukaryota; Metazoa; Chordata; Actinopteri; Cyprinodontiformes; Goodeidae. The transcript has 2 exons.